AUGUUUCCCACUUCUCCCAAAAAUAAAAAUAAAAACAUCUCAAUGGAUCCCUCUCUCUCAACGAUGAGCCCUAGAGAACUUUUAAUUCUUUUUUUUUUAUGUCUGGUGAAUUUUCAGAAGACUAAACCCCAGCGGAGACGUCCACCGGGACCUGAGAGGACGCUCAGGGACAGCGAAGACGAUAGCGAGGAUGAUGACGACAGCGGACUCGGGACGGCUGCGGAUGAAGACAGCACCGGCAGCAUGAACCAGAACUUUAAUACCAAACCAAACCCAGCCUCAUCGCGCCACACAGCAGCCAACAGCAGUCAGUACAGCAGCACACUUCUACAGAUACUACGUAGAGGAUGGCUUUUACCUUCCAAACACCAGAAAUUCAGACAAAUGUGCACAUUAAUCCACAUUUCCUCAUGGUUUACGAGCAUUAAUAGACUCAGUCGAGAGAGACAUUUAUAUUCUCAGCCGUCUCCUUUGUGAUUCAGAAUAAGACACGUUAGUCCAGGGAGGUCCAAACCUUUCAAGACGAGGGCCAAAAAAGUCAUGUUUGAAUUCAACGGGGGCCCAGGAAUCUGAUUUUGUUCAUUUAAAAAAUGCAAAUAUUAUUUUGUAUAAUUAAUUAUAAAUUUUUACUCUUCUAAAUAAAUCCCAAAUAGGCCUAUGAGUAAAUAUCUGAACAUAAACAUGCUAGAGAGUGGCGAACUAUAUCUGUCACGAUACGGUGGUGUGGACCUAAAAUGCAGUACCCAGGAUGAGACGGAGGCAGGGAUGAAGAUUUUAAGUGAAAAGUCUUUAUUUUGUGGGUGAGCCAAAAACCAAGGUAAUCCAAACUGGGAGUCAAAAUCCAAAAAGCCAAAAAUCCAAAAGGUCAAAAAGCAGAUUCUUAUCUGGGGAUCAAGAAACUCUGGUUAAACACAGAGGGACUAAACUGACAGAAUCAACAAACAUUAAUGGACCGACACAAGACAAAGACAAGACAGGGCUUAAAUAGACUGGGAGGGGCAAUCAGGAAAACAGGCAGCAGGUGUGCGGAGUGAGCUGCUGGAGGGAAGGCAGGUGACAAUAAUAAUCUAAAUGGGGAAACAGAACAGAGAAUGGCAGAUAACCCUAAAAUACAAUAUUUAAACCUAAAGACUGAGGGAAAGGCUCACACAAACUAUCUGGAGGAGGACAUAAUACACACACAUAUACACUCAUACACACANCACACACACACACACACACACACACACACACACACACACACAGAGCAGGGGACUGAGAGCCUGGGGGCUACAAGGACACAGAAAAUGAAGACCUGGAGGGGCUGGGGAGGAAUGAGAUGACACGGGACCUGGGAGGAAUAAUUGUACCGGUUACCACAUAAGGCACAAGACUGAGACGAAGACAAGGACACAUGAGGGCGCUAUGAGACACAAAAGGGAAUCUAGAGUGGGAUGGAGGACACCAGGAGGCACAAAAAGGAGGGGGCAGACGCAGACCAUGACAUAUAUCAACACGGGCAGAGAGGCACAUGAGGGGCGGGACUCGCCAGCUCAAAAGUAACCAAUCAGAAAAAAAGGCGUAAAUGCCGACUGCAUCACUUGAUGGUAAUUUUUUAGCUGUUGUCAAAAAUGGCGUCUAGGAUGACGCAGACAUGAGCAGCAGCAAACUCUGCUUCAGGCGCCAUCUUUGUUGUUUAUGAGCGUUGCGGUGUGUGACGUAAGCGGCUCAGCGCUGAUUGGCUCGGUUAGAAUUCUCAGGGGGUGGGAUUAUUUGAAUAGGAGAGUUCCCAGAGCCAUGGGGCUGGCUGGUCAGACUAUCAACAUCCUAUUGGAGAGAAAAAAUUCAUCUUUGUAGAAACUCCAGUGGGGCCGUACAAAAUGACUAAGAGGGCCACACUUUGGACAUGCCUGCUCUAGCCCCGUCAGAGACUCUGACGGUGAUCUUGUGAUUUCUCCUCAUGGCAGAUCAAGUUCAUUACAAGGAGAACUUUUUGGUGUAUAAUUAAAUAUCUAUUUUUAAAUUUUAAUCAGGAACCUUCCACACCAGAACCUCUGCACCGAACAAGAGCCGUGAGAGAGCCUUCAGGUCAGACUGGUGUUAGCGUUUCAUUUCCACUUUAAGCUGAGUAGGAAACAAACUCACCCAUCAGGCUAAGAUGCUAUCGCUAACCUUUUAUUCCUUCCACCAGACCCACCACCAAGCCUGAUGAGGAUGAAUCUGACUCUGAAGAUGAAAACACCUCCAGAAGGUCAGGAAAGGUCAUUUCUUCACUCGGGAGUUUGACAAAAACGGGUGUGACAAAAAAUCUGACUCAAAAUUUAGAUUUCCAGAUAAAUAAAGUGGAUGGAUCUUAAAGAAGAAACCUUCUUUUUUGUAAAAGAACAAACAAAGAAUUUCAACAGCAAACAUACAAAGUAGAAAAGUUUCCAUCCAUCAGAUUCGGGUCAUUUUCCACUGAUUUAAGCUCAGACUUGAAAACUCUCACUUAAAUCUUCAGCAGUAGGUGAAUUCAUGACUAAAAUGUUGAUCUUUGCCUUUAUUUUCUUUUAAUUCUGCAGCAUUUAAACAGAUUUACAGUCUUCCUUCUCUUACGUUGCUAUCGAUCACGCUUGAUUCUGCCUACAGCUGCCGCCCGCUCAGCGUGUGCACCGGGGAGCUCGUUAGCGCUCGCAGAAGCAAGAUGGCUGCAGGAGCAGCUCUAGCCGACACCGAUCCUCUGGCCAUCGACCAGUCGGUCAGUUAAAACGUUUAAGAAAAUCAAAAUCUGAUCUUCUGUGUUUAUUUUAAUACUGAAACACGUUUCAGACAUUUUCUAUGACUCGUUUCUGCCUCCUCGCUGGCUUCAGGUGGAUUUUGACAGCAUUGGAGGUCUGUCGGGUCACAUCUCUGCUCUGAAGGAGAUGAUCGUCUUCCCGCUCCUCUACCCAGAAUUCUUUGACAGUUUUAAGAUUCAGCCUCCCAGGUGACCCAGAGGCUCACAGGCUGCAAGCCGACUUUUACACCUGACGUAUGAACUCAUCACACCUGCUCUUCUCCAGGGGUUGUCUGUUCUACGGCCCUCCUGGAACUGGGAAAACCCUGGUGGCUCGGGCGUUGGCCAACGAGUGUUGUCAUGGCAACAGGAAGGUGUCUUUCUUCAUGAGGAAGGGAGCCGACUGCCUCAGCAAGUGGGUGGGGGAGUCGGAGCGGCAGCUGCGGCUGAUGUUUGAACAGGUAACUGUGCAAAUCUGACGUCACCGCGCUGCCCCCUAGUGGUCAGGUGUGGAUCAGACUAAAACUGAUGCUUACGGUGUGUUUUCUGAAGAUAAAACAUAUGAAAAAGAUGAAAUAUUACUUGUAAAACUCUUAAGAUAUCAUCUGUCCCUUGACUUGU
Nothobranchius furzeri (turquoise killifish) is the source of this 3355-nucleotide long non-coding RNA. The record is from Ensembl. Lineage: Eukaryota; Metazoa; Chordata; Actinopteri; Cyprinodontiformes; Nothobranchiidae.